GGAGCACGUGACCACCACCGCGGCCGCCAUGACACCUUCCGCUAGCUCCCGCCCUCCCCCACCGAUUCCCGCCUGUUUCGCUUCUCCUCCUCCGGUCUCGAGCGGCGGAGAGUUUCGGGGAUUCGGCUUGGCUCGCCUUUCUCCCUAGAGAGCAUCCGGUCCGGCUCCGUGGUGCGUCGUCGGCCCGAGGCGGCUCCCAGACUGCAGGCCGCAGGGAGCGGAAUCGCGACCCGCGGCUGGAGGGGGAGGGAGCACGCGCGGGGAGGGGCGUGAUCGUCACGUGACGAGGAAGUGCCGUUAACAGCGCUUUCCUCCGGUCCCUGGCGCCCCUGGAUGACGUUGCCAGGGAGGGGGCGGGGUGACAGGGUGUGUGAGGUUCAGGUUCCGCUGUCAAGGGGUGUUGAGUGUCUGUGGAGCCUGCUCGGUGAAAGCGAUCGCUGGUCUCUGGGGGGGGCGGAACUCGGCCCGCUAGUCAGCCUGAGGUUCUGUGAACCUGGCUUGGAAAACCUGCUUCCUGGACUUCUCCAGAGUGACAGCUGCGGUUUAAAGUCAUAAAAGUUAGCUGUGAUUGACGGGAGCUCCUUGUGGUCAGGGACUUGGUCUGCUGCGCAUCCUUCAUCUCCAGCAGCGCCUCCAGGGCCUAGAACACGAGAGAAAUUCUGUGUCUCUUACAGAACAACCGUCAUCUUUCUGGCUAAAUGACUUUUGUGCCAGUGAUACCAGAAGCCUACAGCCAUGUUCUUGCAGAGUUUGAGUCCUUGGAUCCGUUACUCACAGCCCUGAGGCUGGACUCCAGUCGUCUGAGGUGUACCAGCAUAGCUGUGUCUCGGAAAUGGUUGGCGUUAGGCAGCACAGGAGGAGGACUCAAUCUCAUUCAGAAAGAUGGCUGGAAGCAAAGGCUGUUUCUCUCUCACCGGGAAGGGGCAAUCUCUCAGAUUGCCUGCUGCUCUCAUGAUGAUGAUUAUGUUGCUGUAGCUACCAGUCAAGGUCUUGUAGUUGUUUGGGAAUUAAAUCAAGAGCGUCGUGGGAAGCCAGAACGAAUUCAUGUGUCCUCAGAACACAAAGGCCGAAAAGUUACUGCCCUCUGUUGGGACACGGCUGUUCUGAGAGUCUUUGUCGGUGACCAUGUGGGCAAAGUAUCUGCCAUCAAACUCAACACUUUGAAACAAGCAAAAGCAGCUGCUGCCUUUGUGAUGUUUCCUGUGCAGACAGUACUAACAGUGGACUCGUGUGUCGUCCAGUUGGAUUACUUGGAUGGAAGAUUACUUGUGUCUUCACUGACUCGAUCCUUCUUGUGUGACACCGAGAGGGAAAAGUUUUGGAAAAUCGGAAAUAAGGAAAGACAUGGAGAAUAUGGGGCUUGUUUCUUCCCCGGGCGGUGUGCUGGGGGCCAGCAGCCUGUGAUCUACUGCGCCCGCCCAGGCUCCCGGAUGUGGGAAGUGAACUUUGACGGGGAAGUGCUCAGUACACACCAGUUCAAGAAGCUCCUGUCAAUGCCACCCCUCCCUGUGAUCACUGCAAGAUCAGAGCCUCAGUAUGAUCACACAGUUGGAUCCUCCCAGUCUUUGGCAUUCCCCAAACUCUUGCAUCUUAGUGAACACUGUGUGCUGACUUGGACAGAAAAGGGAAUUUAUAUUUUCAUUCCUCAGAAUGUUCAAGUUCUUCUUUGGAGUGAAGUCAAGGAUAUUCAGGAUGUAGCUGUCUACAAGAAUGAAUUGUUCUGUUUACACUUUAAUGGAAAAAUCUCACAUCUUUCCCUGUUGUCUGUGGAGCGCUGUGUAGAACGCCUGUUAAGGAGAGGCCUGUGGGACCUGGCUGCUCGCACAUGCUGUCUCUUCCAAAAUUCUAUUAUUACCAGCAGAGCAAGAAAAACAUUGACUGCAGAUAAGUUGGAGCAUUUGAAGUCUCAGCUGGACCUUACAGCCUGCAGUGAACUAAUUUCUCAGCUGGACGACUUGAUCUUAAGGUUCGAGCCUUUGGAGUCGGCGUGCAGCAGCAGAAGAAGCUCCAUCUCAUCGCAUGAAAGUUUUAGCAUCUUGGACUCUGGUAUUUAUCGUAUCAUCAGUAGUAGAAGAGGCAGUCAGUCCGACGAAGAUUCUUGUUCCCUUCACAGCCAGACCUUCUCAGAAGAUGAAAGGCUUAAAGAAUUUGCCUCACACCAGGAAGAGGAGCAGCCAGAGCAGGGCUGUGGUGCCAAUAGGAAUGAAGAGAGUGCUUCCCACAGUCCAGUGAUGUCUGAGGUAGAUAAGAGUGAAGCUUUUCUGCCCUUCAGCAUUGCACUGCCAUUUCGUUCUCCAUCUCCCCUCGUGUCUCUUCAGGCUGUUAAAGACAGUGUUUCUAGCUUUGUGCGUAAAACUACUGAGAAGAUUGGCACCCUUCACGGAAGCCCCGAGCUGAAAGAGCCUUUUGAAUCCAAGGAUGCUGACCGAGCACAUGAAGAGGAAGGAGAAAGAAAUUCAUCAACCUCCUAAAGAAGACAGGCUUCAAGAACUCACAGCAGCGACAGCAGAAGCAAUGACCAAGUUAUUGGACCCUCUGGUUCUGUUUGAGCCCAAGGUGCUAAGAAUGGUUUUACUUGAGUGGCUUUCACAGUUAGAGAAAACAUUUGCCAUGAAAGACUUCCCCGGCAUUUCCAAUACCAGCAGUCCAACCGUGAAAUCAAACUUGGGUGCACACCUCCUCGGUGAGACAGAAAAGAGAGUAUUAGAUGAAGAGAGUGGAGAAGGAAGAAGGGUCUCUUUAGUCACUGAAGAAGCUGGAGGUCAGAUAACCUGUGACCCUGUAAGCAACCUCAGUGAGCCCUCGGCUGACCGUUUUCGAGUAUGCUCUCCAUACGCCAUCACAAACAGCCUUCAGAGGGACCUGGCGGAAUUGACAACGUUGUGCUUGGAACUGAAUGUGUUGACUUCAGCAAUGGAAAGCGUAGGUGGGCAUGUGGACCGGGCUUCACAGCAGCUCUCUCCAGAAAUCCUGGCUUGUCGUUUCCUAAAGAAGUACUUUUUUCUUCUGGACUUGAAAAGAGCAAAGGAGAGUAUCAAGCUCACUUACGACAGCCCUUGCGUUUGGGACACUUUUGUCGAAGGACUAAAAGAAAUGGCAAGAUCUAAUCCUGCCUACACGGAGCUGGAAGAAGGAGACCUGCCCACGGGGUUACAGUUACUGGAUGGCUCCGUCCCUUCUGAUAGUCCCUUGUUGAUUGCAUUUGCCACCCGGUUGUAUGAUAGAUUUGGGGAGUCAGCCCUUCGAGCUUGCAUCAAGUUUUAUCCGUCCAUUUCGCCCUCCGACAUCGCACAGCUUUGCCGUCAUCAUCCUGCUCAGUUCUUGGCCUAUCUAGACAGUCUGGUGAAGUCCAGGCCGGAAGACCAGUGGCCAUCCUUCCUUGAGUUCCUUCUACAACCAGAGUCUUUAAGACUUGAAUGGCUGCUUUUGGCAGUGUCCCAUGAUGCUCCACCAAGCACAAGUACAGUGGAUGAUGAAGGGCACCCCAGGCCCCAUUCACACUUGCUUUCUUGGGGUUAUAGUCAGCUGAUUCUUCUUCUUAUUAAACUUCCUGCAGACUUUACAACCAAAGAGAAAAUGACUGACAUCUGUAGGUCUUACGGUUUCUGGCCUGGAUAUCUUACCCUCUGUCUGGAGCUGGAGAGGAGGAGGGAGGCCUUCACCAACAUUGUGUAUCUGAAUGACAUAAGCCUGAUGGAAGGGGACAAUGGGUGGAUCCCUGAGACCUUGGAGGAAUGGAAGCUUCUCCUACAUCUACUACAGACCAAGAGCACAAGGCCAGCUCCCCAGGAGUCACUAAACGGGAGCCUCAGUGAUGGGCCAGCCCCUAUCAAUGUGGAGAAUGUGGCCCUCCUGUUAGCUAAGGCCAUGGGCCCAGAUCGGGCCUGGUCACUGCUACAGGAGUGUGGUCUGGCUCUUGAGUUGUCAGAAAAGUUCACCAGAACCUGUGAUAUCCUGAGGAUUGCUGAGAGAAGGCAGAGAGCGCUGAUACAAGGCAUGCUUGAGAAGUGUGACCGCUUCCUCUGGUCGCAGCAGGCCUAGUUGGGGAUCUACUUUGACCAAGUGGAAUCCUGCUCUCGACCCUGCAGAGGUCUUUGGCACAGAAGGGAAGAGGACACCCCAAAACAUGCUGCUGCAGCUGCUGAUGUCUCAUCACCGCCUGGCCAGCCCUUGGCUUUUGUGGCUCUGUGACCUCAGAGUUUCUCAAGGAAGCAGUGGGCUGACCUUCACUGGAAGCAGCCUGGAGGUGCUCCCUGCUGGGUCGGAUUCUUUGUGUACACCAUGAAUCAGGGAAUUGGUUUCUACUGAUGCAGAUCUGUAGGGAGCAGAAGCUUUGGUACAGGAAGACAUAACUAAUAUUGUAAACUGGAGUUCAAUACUUUUUCUUACUGAGUUAGGACCUGGAACAAUGACAUCAUUCCUGUUGGCUUAUGUAAUAAAUACUGAAGAUCCAAACUAGAGUUUUAAAUAAGACUGCCCAUAUCUGAGUUGAGCUCAGUUUCAAGUAUUUUUCCAGUAUGUAUUUGAUAUUCUCUAAUCUAAGCCUAUACGUACUGACUAAUCCUGGAAAUAUAUUAUCUGUAAGUUUUGGAGAGUGGGUGACCCAAACGCUCACGCCCUCUCUUUUAUUUUUUUUAUCGGGUUAUGCACUUUUUCCUUCAUUCCUUUCUCUUUUUUUGUCUUAAUUUAUAACCCUCGCUAGCCUGGAACAUGUAGGUAUACCAGGCUGUCUCGACUUUAAAUAUCUACUGCCUCUGCCUCCUGAAUGUUAGAAUUAAGGGUUUGUGCCAUCACAUAUACUUUAAAAUUUUAUUUUAAAAAGCCAUAGCAAGAGAAAGCCACGCACUAACAUAAAUGAUAACAAAUGAUUAUAUUAGCCAAGCCAUGUAACUGGAUUGUCAUUUAUGAAGCUUUAUGUAGCCUGUUAUGUUGGUAAUAAAUGAUGAAGGUUUUCUUUAAGGAGAA
Molecule: RNA transcript, 4965 nt
Organism: Mus musculus (house mouse)
Lineage: Eukaryota; Metazoa; Chordata; Mammalia; Rodentia; Muridae
Gene: Hps5
Gene name: HPS5, biogenesis of lysosomal organelles complex 2 subunit 2
Exons: 23
Source: RefSeq, marked validated